AGAGUUUGAUCCUGGCUCAGGAUGAACGCUAGCGGCAGGCUUAACACAUGCAAGUCGAGGGGCAGCGGGGAGGAAGCUUGCUUUCUCCGCCGGCGACCGGCGCACGGGUGAGUAACACGUAUGCAACCUGCCCCUGUCAGGGGGACAACCCGCCGAAAGGCGGGCUAAACCCGCGUACAUGCCACCGGGGCAUCCCGGAGGCAGGAAAGGCUUCGGCCGGACAGGGAUGGGCAUGCGGCGCAUUAGGCAGUAGGCGGGGUAACGGCCCACCUAACCGACGAUGCGUAGGGGUUCUGAGAGGAAGGUCCCCCACACUGGUACUGAGACACGGACCAGACUCCUACGGGAGGCAGCAGUGAGGAAUAUUGGUCAAUGGUCGGGAGACUGAACCAGCCAAGCCGCGUGAGGGAUGAAGGUACAGAGUAUCGUAAACCUCUUUUGUCAGGGAACAAAGGCGGGGACGCGUCCCCGGAUGAGUGUACCUGAAGAAAAAGCAUCGGCUAACUCCGUGCCAGCAGCCGCGGUAAUACGGAGGAUGCGAGCGUUAUCCGGAUUUAUUGGGUUUAAAGGGUGCGCAGGCGGUCUGUUAAGUCAGCGGUCAAAGCCCGGGGCUCAACCCCGGCCCGCCGUUGAAACUGGCAGUCUCGAGUUGGAGAGAAGUAUGCGGAAUGCGCGGUGUAGCGGUGAAAUGCAUAGAUAUCGCGCAGAACUCCGAUUGCGAAGGCAGCAUGCCGGCUCCACACUGACGCUGAGGCACGAAAGCGUGGGUAUCGAACAGGAUUAGAUACCCUGGUAGUCCACGCAGUAAACGAUGAAUGCUGGCUGUCCGGGGGGACUGACCCCUGGGUGGCGAAGCGAAAGCGAUAAGCAUUCCACCUGGGGAGUACGCCGGCAACGGUGAAACUCAAAGGAAUUGACGGGGGCCCGCACAAGCGGAGGAACAUGUGGUUUAAUUCGAUGAUACGCGAGGAACCUUACCCGGGCUCAAACGGGGAGUGACUCAGGCAGAGACGCCUGUUUCCCACGGGACACUCCCCGAGGUGCUGCAUGGUUGUCGUCAGCUCGUGCCGUGAGGUGUCGGCUUAAGUGCCAUAACGAGCGCAACCCCCGCGUGCAGUUGCUAACAGAUAACGCUGAGGACUCUGCACGGACUGCCGGCGCAAGCCGCGAGGAAGGCGGGGAUGACGUCAAAUCAGCACGGCCCUUACGUCCGGGGCGACACACGUGUUACAAUGGGUGGUACAGCGGGAAGCCAGGCGGCGACGCCGAGCGGAACCCGAAAUCCACUCUCAGUUCGGAUCGGAGUCUGCAACCCGACUCCGUGAAGCUGGAUUCGCUAGUAAUCGCGCAUCAGCCAUGGCGCGGUGAAUACGUUCCCGGGCCUUGUACUCACCGCCCGUCA
Molecule: ribosomal RNA, 1402 nt
Filed under: uncultured bacterium
Lineage: Bacteria
Description: 16S ribosomal RNA
Rfam family: Bacterial small subunit ribosomal RNA
Source: RNAcentral